Molecule: ribosomal RNA, 466 nt
Filed under: uncultured Oxalobacteraceae bacterium
Lineage: Bacteria; Pseudomonadati; Pseudomonadota; Betaproteobacteria; Burkholderiales; Oxalobacteraceae
Description: bacterial SSU rRNA
Rfam family: Bacterial small subunit ribosomal RNA
Source: RNAcentral
UCCUACGGGUGGCAGCAGUGGGGAAUUUUGGACAAUGGGGGCAACCCUGAUCCAGCCAUGCCGCGUGAGUGAAGAAGGCCUUCGGGUUGUAAAGCUCUUUCAGCCGGGAAGAAAUCGCAUCUCCUAAUACGGGGUGUGGAUGACGGUACCGGAAUAAGAAGCACCGGCUAACUACGUGCCAGCAGCCGCGGUAAUACGUAGGGUGCGAGCGUUAAUCGGAAUUACUGGGCGUAAAGCGUGCGCAGGCGGUUUCGUAAGACAGAUGUGAAAUCCCCGGGCUCAACCUGGGAACUGCAUUUGUGACUGCGAGGCUAGAGUAUGGCAGAGGGGGGUGGAAUUCCACGUGUAGCAGUGAAAUGCGUAGAGAUGUGGAGGAACACCGAUGGCGAAGGCAGCCCCCUGGGCCAAUACUGACGCUCAUGCACGAAAGCGUGGGGAGCAAACAGGAUUAGAUACCCGGGUAGUC